RNAcentral lists this ribosomal RNA (253 nucleotides) under uncultured bacterium. RNAcentral describes it as "partial 16S ribosomal RNA". It matches the Rfam family "Bacterial small subunit ribosomal RNA", at positions 524 to 776 of the family's 1533-position model. The record is from RNAcentral.
UACAGAGGGUGCAAGCGUUGUUCGGAAUUAUUGGGCGUAAAGCGCGUGUAGGCGGCUUGUUAUGUCGGGUGUGAAAGCCCUCAGCUCAACUGAGGAAGUGCGCCCGAAACUGGCGAGCUUGAGUGCCGGAGAGGAUAGCAGAACACCCGGUGUAGAGGUGAAAUUCGUAGAUAUCGGGUAGAACACCAGUGGCGAAGGCGGCUAUCUGGACGGACACUGACGCUGAGACGCGAAAGCGUGGGGAGCAAACAGG